RNAcentral lists this ribosomal RNA (253 nucleotides) under uncultured bacterium. RNAcentral's name for it is "partial 16S ribosomal RNA". It matches the Rfam family "Bacterial small subunit ribosomal RNA", at positions 524 to 776 of the family's 1533-position model. The record is from RNAcentral.
UACGAAGGGUGCAAGCGUUAAUCGGAAUUACUGGGCGUAAAGCGUGCGUAGGCGGUCUUUUAAGUCCGAUGUGAAAGCCCUGGGCUCAACCUGGGAAUGGCACUGGAUACUGGAAGGCUAGAGUACGGUAGAGGAGGGUGGAAUUCCAGGUGUAGCGGUGAAAUGCGUAGAUAUCUGGAGGAACACCGGUGGCGAAGGCGGCAUCCUGGACCGAAACUGACACUGAGGCGCGAAAGCUAGGGGAGCAAACGGG